AGUGAACGCUGGCGGUAGGCCUAACACAUGCCAGUCGAACGGCAGCACAGUAAGAGCUUGCUCUUACGGGUGGCGAGUGGCGGACGGGUGAGGAAUACAUCGGAAUCUACUUUUUCGUGGGGGAUAACGUAGGGAAACUUACGCUAAUACCGCAUACGACCUACGGGUGAAAGCAGGGGUUCUUCGGACCUUGCGCGAUUGAAUGAGCCGAUGUCGGAUUAGCUAGUUGGCGGGGUAAAGGCCCACCAAGGCGACGAUCCGUAGCUGGUCUGAGAGGAUGAUCAGCCACACUGGAACUGAGACACGGUCCAGACUCCUACGGGAGGCAGCAGUGGGGAAUAUUGGACAAUGGGCGCAAGCCUGAUCCAGCCAUACCGCGUGGGUGAAGAAGGCCUUCGGGUUGUAAAGCCCUUUUGUUGGGAAAGAAAAGCAGCAGGUUAAUACCCCGCUGUUCUGACGGUACCCAAAGAAUAAGCACCGGCUAACUUCGUG
This 492-nucleotide ribosomal RNA is filed under the name uncultured bacterium. Its description in RNAcentral is "partial 16S ribosomal RNA". It matches the Rfam family "Bacterial small subunit ribosomal RNA", at positions 29 to 507 of the family's 1533-position model. The record is from RNAcentral.